UGCUUAGCCUACUACAUCAUUCUUUAAUAGCGAAAAUUAAUGCUCUUGUUCUUGUAGAGUGUAACUCCAUGGUUUCUUUCAUGCUAAGUUUUUAUUUAAAAUUUUUUAUACACUUUUAAAUUUAGAAACAUUUAGAGAUGCCUAAAUAUGUUUUGAAACUCAAGUGCACUACGUUCGUUGCUGAAUCAUUUUCCGUUAACGACGUGCUGAUGUGGCUUGAUGACCUUGACUAUUAGUAACACGUGUUACUUCGUAGUUUGGCCACGUAUACUAGUAUGAUGUGAAUUGAAUGUUGUGCAUCAAAUUAGUCUCUUCACUAAUUUUUCUCCUUUUUUUAUAAAUUCAAAUUUCUAAUAUCUUUAAAUGCACUAAUUUUAAUCCUAUUUUUCACAUGUUUAUUGUUGGAUAUUCAUUUUCUUUUUCCUUUCUUUCUUCCCUUUUGGAGUUGCUGAGUUUAUUAAUCCUAAAGAACACGAUAAACCAAUUUAGCAGGUCAUAGUUGAUCUUACAGAUGACAGAGUUGAUUAUAGCUUUGAGUGCAUUGGGAAUGUCUCCAUCAUGAGAGCUGCUCUGGACUGCUGCCACAAGGUGAACACUGCCAUAGCAGUGCCACACUGACUCAAUUGUUCAAAUAUUACUCUAGAUGGACAUAACCAUCAAAAUAUAUGUUUUGCUGAAUAGGAAUUUGCUCUGCAUUCAACAGUAUACACCAUACACACCUUUUUCUUCUCGGAUAUUGAAUCAAAGUUAAGAAGAAUUGAGGAUGACCCCUAAAGGAUCUGGGAUUUUUCAUUUGCAUAGUAUUAUUUAAGGAGUUAAUUUGCAAGCUAAUCUUGCUUUGAAGCCUUUGUUUGAGAGAGAAGUUUGUUAUUUCCAGUGUUGCUGAGUAAAUCACCUGAUUAUUAGAAGUUAUUGUUAUCAACGCACAAAAGAAACAAAUAUGUCAAGGCAAAGGACAAAUUGACAUCACAUCUCUGAAGUUAGUUUAGAGUUAGUUACAACUAAUCUUGGCUAAUCUUUAGUUUCUAGAAGUACUUAGUGUUAGUAUAUAUCAUUGUUUAGAACUAAGAUCGAGACAAGUGUAUUCACUCAAAUAUAUUAAUUUUUGUUGUUUGAACUAAAAAUAUAUCUAGCUUAUAAUGUAAA
This is a non-coding RNA of Arachis ipaensis, 1146 nucleotides long. NCBI's taxonomy places the organism in Eukaryota, Viridiplantae, Streptophyta, Magnoliopsida, Fabales, Fabaceae. The record is from RefSeq and is a predicted model, not a curated record.